This 478-nucleotide ribosomal RNA is filed under the name uncultured bacterium. RNAcentral describes it as "partial 16S ribosomal RNA". It matches the Rfam family "Bacterial small subunit ribosomal RNA", at positions 28 to 523 of the family's 1533-position model. The record is from RNAcentral.
GACGAACGCUGGCGGCGUGCUUAACACAUGCAAGUCGAACGGUAAGGUCCUUCGGGGUACACGAGUGGCGAACGGGUGAGUAACACGUGGGUGAUCUGCCCUGCACUUCGGGAUAAGCCUGGGAACCCGGGUCUAAUACCGGAUAGGACUCCGGACUGCAUGGCCUGGGGUGGAAAGCUUUUGCGGUGUGGGAUGGGCCCGCGGCCUAUCAGCUUGUUGGUGGGGUGAUGGCCUACCAAGGCGACGACGGGUAGCCGGCCUGAGAGGGUGACCGGCCACACUGGGACUGAGAUACGGCCCAGACUCCUACGGGAGGCGGCAGUGGGGAAUAUUGCACAAUGGGCGCAAGCCUGAUGCAGCGACGCCGCGUGAGGGAUGACGGCCUUCGGGUUGUAAACCUCUUUCAGCAUCGACGAAGCGAAAGUGACGGUAGGUGCAGAAGAAGGACCGGCCAACUACGUGCCAGCCGCCGCGGUAA